Molecule: long non-coding RNA, 1444 nt
Organism: Helianthus annuus (common sunflower)
Lineage: Eukaryota; Viridiplantae; Streptophyta; Magnoliopsida; Asterales; Asteraceae
Exons: 5
Source: RefSeq, a predicted model, not a curated record
UACUAGUAGCAAGGGUUUCCUAUAUCCACAGAACGGUCUGUGAAAAUGGCGUAUUGUAGUGCUAUUAUUUUCAAGUCGCAGCCGAGGAGCACCGUCAUUAUUGAAUCGUUCUUCAAUUUCAAGGUUGGCCAAUUCCAAUAUUAGUAGCAACGCAUCGAAUCAACUGUUCUUCACCACUACUGCCUAUUCUAGUUACAGGAAACUGCGUUUUUAUAUAAGGUGUGAGGCAAAGCCUAAGCUCCAGGAUUCAAUCGUCGUAGAACAAGGUACAGAUCUUCAUGCUACAUUUCCCCAAUCAUUGUAUGUGGGAUGAAUAGUUUCACAAUUGCUAGUAUAACUAUGACUGAUGAUUAUGCUUCAAUUUAAUUGCCGAAUGUUUUGGUAAGUGUUAAGUUCUUUGAUUCUUGACAUGUGACUUUACUUUUAGGUUCGAUAAAGUAGCAGUUAAGGAUUUUGGUAUAAGUUAAGUUCUUUGAUUGUUGAUAUGUGAGGACACUUCAGGUUUGUAAAUGCUCCUUUUGACUGAAAUUGAACUGGAAUCCAUCAUCGAAAUAUCAAAUUGCUUCUGCAGCACUCUAGACGAGUUAUCAUGAAAGAUAUAUUAGAAGUAAGGAACAUAUUACCAAUAAUAUUUUAGCUUAGGAUUCAGUUGUACUACUAGUGAUGGAUUAGGGUCAUGUUUAUUUGUGCACAACAAAUGCUUGACGAAAUGCAUAAAUGGAAAUUUUAUUUGAGACACUAUAUUUGUUGCUUUUUGUUUGUUUUUUGAAAAGUUUUAUUCUAUUUGAAUGCAUAAGUAACCUCAACUCAGCAAGCUUCAAUGGAAUUUCAGUAAGUUACUUGUUUAUUUAUGUGUACACAUGAUGUUGCUAAUUUUGAACUUGAAUCAGAUUGGGGCAUUGUCUUAACAGGUCUUCGUCCUCGUGAAUCCAUCAUUAUGUUUAACAAACAAAACCCCAUCUUUGCUGGCGAAUGUAGAAAAGCUAAUGAAGAUGGCUGGUAUUGUUUGAACCGAUGGGAAGAAUGGGUGAAACUAUGUAGCAAAGGAAAGGAAAAUAAUUGAAAUGAAAACAGAGAAACGACAAAGCAUUAUGAGGAAGUCACACUUGUAGAGCUUGAUGGAGACGGAGAUUACCACGUGCCUGUUGAACUUGGAGGUAGUGGUGGAAUGUUCAGAAAAACUAGUUGUUGGAAAUGCGCAAAAGGGUUGAAGAUGAUCAUUAAAGAAAAAAAGUCGAGCUUGAAACUAUGCGAAAAGAGUUUGUCAGCAGCGACACAACUUGGAAGCUAUGAUGCGGAAGGUUAUGAAACAAGUAGUUGGAGAUCGAGAUGAAUAGAAUGUUUUCACUUUUUUUAUUGUAAUUGUCUGUAAAGUUAUUUAAGUUUCGACAAACAUGUUGAAGUACACACUUUGAUUAUCAAUGAUAUCUUUGUUAUUAUUGUU